RNAcentral lists this long non-coding RNA (529 nucleotides) under Homo sapiens (human). RNAcentral's name for it is "non-protein coding lnc-TNFRSF14-2:5". Lineage: Eukaryota; Metazoa; Chordata; Mammalia; Primates; Hominidae. The record is from RNAcentral.
CACCCCAUCUAUGACUAAGACACCCUCCCACCUUCAUGCUACUGAGUGGACAAGCUUACAUGAAAUGACUGUUUUCACAUAUGUGGCACCAGGCAGCCCAGGGAUGCCGGUGAAAUCUCUGGGAGAACGGCAUGUUCCAGAGAGCCACAGCUUGCUCAGCCUGGACCCCAGAACGAAGGAGGCAUCAGAAGCUGAGCCACCCGUGGCCGACAAGAAACCUGAGUGGGAGGGGAAACUUGGUUGCUGUGAUCGACCCAGGCUUGCGAGUUGUUUUGGCAACACAGCCUAGCAAGAGCCGACCAAUAUGUCAUUGAUGAAAGAAAGUCAACAGGCGUGUAGAAGGAGCUGUCUACUGAGCAUGUCUGCACUUUUCUGAAUUAUGUUGCACUUGAGUAAAAAGUAAGCAAGCCUGUCUAUUUACUUUAAAUGAUGUGUGCCAGAUAUGUACAGUAUGCAGAGUUAAGAAGGUGCCACCCCAAAAUAGGCUGCUCUGGCAUAGUCACUAUUAGGAAUUAAAGGCAGUUAAAAC